RNAcentral lists this ribosomal RNA (2106 nucleotides) under Candidatus Andersenbacteria bacterium RIFCSPHIGHO2_02_FULL_45_11. Its description in RNAcentral is "partial 23S ribosomal RNA". The stretch from base 823 to 2105 matches the Rfam family "Bacterial large subunit ribosomal RNA", at positions 2048 to 2912 of the family's 2925-position model. The record is from RNAcentral. Lineage: Bacteria; Candidatus Anderseniibacteriota.
UAAAAGCUACUCUGGGGAUAACAGGCUUAUCUCCCCCAAUAGUCCACAUAGACGGGGAGGUUUGGCACCUUAACAUAUCGGGGUGCCGUAGAAGUGAUUCUACAAGUCGCCAUUGUUUCUUCGUCAUUAAAUAUUUGAAACAUGGAAAAUAAAUCCAGCUCAUAACGGUGAACGCCAUGAUAUAAUCAUAUUAUGGUCAACGCCGUGGGAAGUCUUACCCAAGAACAACAAGACCUCAUCAUCGGAAGCUUACUUGGAGACGGGACGUUGCGUCGUCAAAAUAAACAACGACGAAAACAUCCGUUAUUCGAAGUUAACCAUUCCGCAAAGUACAGCGUGUACGUCGAUUGGAAGUAUAAAAUGCUUCAAAAUUUGGUUCUAACAGGACCAAAAGCUCGACGGACAAAUGGCGAUCGUAUCGCAUAUCGAUUUACGACGCGCAGUUUGCCUCAAUUCGAUAUAUUCUAUGAAACUUUCUACCCAAGCGGUAAGAAAGUUCUUCCUACAAAUAUCGUAUUGUCGCCGCUUACACUUGCUGUUUGGUUGAUGGAUGAUGGCAACUUGAAUCGGAACUCAAUUUAUCUCAAUACCCAACAGUUUACACAGCAAGAACAAAUGAAUUUGCUCUUAUUGCUGAAAAAACAAUGGAAUAUUGACGGUACAUUGAAUCGAGAUAAGAAGUAUUACAGGAUUCGACUUACAAAAGUCGGAAGCGACCGAUAUAAAGACAUCGUUCGUUCUUAUAUUCUGCCAAUCUUCCAAUACAAAAUUGGGUAUUGACCCCGUAACGACUGACCCGAAAGGGGAGGCUCUACUGUAAUAUGUAGGGCAAUACGCUGGCUCUCAUUAGAUAAAAAGCUGCCAUGGCCUUGUAAGCCUAACGCGGCCAAUGAGAUGAAGGCAUAGUCUGACCCUCUUGGUAACAAGGGGUUAGCACAAAGUACAAGAAAAAGUUUGUGUUGUAAUUACGCGAUGUCGGCUCACCCUAUCCUGGGGCUGAAGAAGGUCCCAAGGGUUUGGCUGUUCGCCAAUGAAAAGGAUACGCGAGCUGGGUUCAAACCGUACGGGCAAGCUGCCCGCGGCGGCUUAGUCGAGCAAUCGACUUCGAAAAAAUUGACUAAUAUCGGUGAAGUCCUAACGAUACACAUAUAACCUGUCAUGUGUUAGGAUAAUACCGAGGGAAGUUAUAACUCUUCGAGCAUAGAUGAAUAAACUUACGAUCGCUCAUAGAUCAUAUAUCGCUGGAUUUCUUGAUGGAGAUGGAAGUAUUUACGUUCGGCUCAAACCGAAUGUAACCUACCGUUUCCGCUAUCAAGUGGCUCCGAACAUCGUAUUCUUUCAAUCAAAGAAAGAACGGUCCGGACUAGAAAAUAUUCAGCAGAUACUUGGAAUAGGGUAUUUGCGUGAUAGAAAAGAUGGAAUCGUCGAAUAUACAAUCGGCGACGAAGCGUCUAUUAUUGCACUUCUUACUUCUAUUUAUCCAUAUUUGUAUCUCAAGCGAAAGCAAGCACUCAUAAUGCUUACAAUUCUCAAAAAGAAGAAAUUAGUUGCAAACGGAUCAGAUUUUUUACAGCUUUGCGCUUUAAUUGAUCAAUUCCAAUUGCUAAACUAUUCGAAAAAAAGAAUUCAAACAAGCAGUGCUGUACAAAAAACACUGAUUGCAGAAGGGAUUUUAACCCCGUAGAGACUUGAUAUGUACCAAGGGUACAUAUCGGAUUUGCUGGAUGUUACGAAUUUCAAAGCAAAUAAUACGUCGAUCUCCUUACACAAUAAGGAUGGUGAUAUAGUCCAUGCUUCUGGUAACAGAAGAAUAUAUAAACAGCGCAAGACAGGUUGGACUCUAUCUGUCGCAGGCGUGGAAACUUGAGGAGCGUCCUUCCUAGUACGAGAGGACCGGAAGGGACCAACCUCUGGUGUACCAGCUGUCUAGUUCUUAGGCAUUGCUGGGUAGCUACGUUGGGCUGGUGAUAAGCGCUGAAAGCAUCUAAGCGCGAAGCCCACUCCAAGACCAGGUUUCGUAUGAGAUCCCUCGAAGACUACGAGGUUGAUAGGCGGAAGGUGUACGCACAGCAAUGUGUUGAGCCGAUCCGUACUAAUAUGAUCCAG